CAGCCGCCACGGUAAUACGUAGGGUGCAAGCGUUGUCCGGAAUUAUUGGGCGUAAAGGGCUCGCAGGCGGUUUCUUAAGUCUGAUGUGAAAUCCCCGAGCUUAACUUGGGAACUGCGUUUGAAACUGGCAAGCUAGAGUCUUGUAGAGGGGGGUAGAAUUCCAGGUGUAGCGGUGAAAUGCGUAGAGAUGCGGAGGAACACCGAUGGCGAAGGCAGCCCCCUGGGAUAACACUGACGCUCAUGCACGAAAGCGUGGGGAGCAAACAGGAUUAGAUACCCCUGUAGUCCCUGUCUCUUAUAU
RNAcentral lists this ribosomal RNA (301 nucleotides) under uncultured bacterium. RNAcentral's name for it is "partial 16S ribosomal RNA". It matches the Rfam family "Bacterial small subunit ribosomal RNA", at positions 509 to 809 of the family's 1533-position model. The record is from RNAcentral.